ACUCAAAGGAAUAGACGGGGGCUCACACAAGCGGAGGAGCAUGUUGUUUAAUUCGAAGCAACGCGAAGAACCUUACCUAGGUUUGACAUGUACGAAGUAGGAGUCUGAAAGGACGACGAUCCGGGCAACCGGUAAACGUACACAGGUGCUGCAUGGCUGUCGUCAGCUCGUGUCGUGAGACGUUAGGUUAAGUCCUGUAACGAGCGAAACCCCUGUCGUCUGUUGCUACCGGGUCAUGCCGGGCACUCUGACGAGACUGCCGAUGUCAAAUCGGAGGAAGGUGGGGACGACGUCAAGUCAUCAUGGUCCUUACACCUAGGGCUACAAACGUGCUACAAUGGGCUGUACAGAGAGUUGCGAAAUCGCGAGAUAGAGCUAAUCUUCAAAACAGCCCCCAGUUCGGAUUGGAGGCUGCAAUUCGCCUCCAUGAAGCCGGAUUCGCUAGUAAUCGCGGAUCAGACACGCCGCGGUGAAUACGUUCCUGAGCCUUGUACACACCGCCCGU
RNAcentral lists this ribosomal RNA (505 nucleotides) under uncultured bacterium. RNAcentral describes it as "bacterial SSU rRNA". It matches the Rfam family "Bacterial small subunit ribosomal RNA", at positions 899 to 1397 of the family's 1533-position model. The record is from RNAcentral.